Molecule: small nuclear RNA, 306 nt
Filed under: Sorex araneus (European shrew)
Lineage: Eukaryota; Metazoa; Chordata; Mammalia; Eulipotyphla; Soricidae
Description: 7SK RNA (ENSSARG00000019113.1)
Rfam family: 7SK RNA
About the family: 7SK was discovered as an abundant small nuclear RNA in the mid-70s but a possible function has only recently been suggested.
Source: RNAcentral
GAGUAUUAGAAUGCUCUGACAGUGAAAUCUGUCACCCCAUUAAUCACCAGGUAGAUACAGAUGACCUGGCAGCUAUUGAGAUUGCCCCUUCCCCCUUUAUAAUUCCAUGUGUGUCCCUCUGAAAGUCAUGUGCUCCAUCAGAGGACAGCCUUCCCUAACAGAGUUCUUUGGUCAAGAAUAAACAUGGAAUUGCGCUCCUAUGCUAGAACCUCUGUAUUAGCUCUCAAAAGGAAACACAAUCAAAGAUUUUGUUUAAUCAAAGAUUUUGCCCUAGAUUUUGCUCUGUACUAAACGGCUGAGAUAUCU